CGGGACACGUGGUAUCCUGUCUGAAUAUGGGGGGACCAUCCUCCAAGGCUAAAUACUCCUGACUGACCGAUAGUGAACCAGUACCGUGAGGGAAAGGCGAAAAGAACCCCGGCGAGGGGAGUGAAAAAGAACCUGAAACCGUGUACGUACAAGCAGUGGGAGCACCCUUUGGGGUGUGACUGCGUACCUUUUGUAUAAUGGGUCAGCGACUUAUAUUCUGUAGCAAGGUUAACCGUAUAGGGGAGCCGGAGGGAAACCGAGUCUUAAUUGGGCGUUAAGUUGCAGGGUAUAGACCCGAAACCCGGUGAUCUAGCCAUGGGCAGGUUGAAGGUUGGGUAACACUAACUGGAGGACCGAACCGACUAAUGUUGAAAAAUUAGCGGAUGACCUGUGGCUGGGGGUGAAAGGCCAAUCAAACCGGGAGAUAGCUGGUUCUCCCCGAAAGCUAUUUAGGUAGCGCCUCGUGAAUUCAUCUCCGGGGGUAGAGCACUGUUUCGGCUAGGGGGCCAUCCCGGCUUACCAACCCGAUGCAAACUGCGAAUACCGGAGAAUGUUAUCACGGGAGACACACGGCGGGUGCUAACGUCCGUCGUGAAGAGGGAAACAACCCAGACCGCCAGCUAAGGUCCCAAAGUCAUGGUUAAGUGGGAAACGAUGUGGGAAGGCCCAGACAGCCAGGAUGUUGGCUUAGAAGCAGCCAUCAUUUAAAGAAAGCGUAAUAGCUCACUGGUCGAGUCGGCCUGCGCGGAAGAUGUAACGGGGCUAAACCAUGCACCGAAGCUGCGGCAGCGACACUGUGUGUUGUUGGGUAGGGGAGCGUUCUGUAAGCCUGUGAAGGUGUGUCGUGAGGCAUGCUGGAGGUAUCAGAAGUGCGAAUGCUGACAUAAGUAACGAUAAAGCGGGUGAAAAGCCCGCUCGCCGGAAGACCAAGGGUUCCUGUCCAACGUUAAUCGGGGCAGGGUGAGUCGACCCCUAAGGCGAGGCCGAAAGGCGUAGUCGAUGGGAAACGGGUUAAUAUUCCCGUACUUGGUGUUACUGCGAAGGGGGGACGGAGAAGGCUAUGUUGGCCGGGCGACGGUUGUCCCGGUUUAAGCGUGUAGGUGUGUGUUCCAGGUAAAUCCGGUUCACUUUAACACUGAGGCGUGACGACGAGGCACUACGGUGCUGAAGCAACAAAUGCCCUGCUUCCAGGAAAAGCCUCUAAGCAUCAGGUAACAUCAAAUCGUACCCCAAACCGACACAGGUGGUCAGGUAGAGAAUACCAAGGCGCUUGAGAGAACUCGGGUGAAGGAACUAGGCAAAAUGGUGCCGUAACUUCGGGAGAAGGCACGCUGACACGUAGGUGAAGUGAUUUACUCAUGGAGCUGAAGUCAGUCGAAGAUACCAGCUGGCUGCAACUGUUUAUUAAAAACACAGCACUGUGCAAACACGAAAGUGGACGUAUACGGUGUGACGCCUGCCCGGUGCCGGAAGGUUAAUUGAUGGGGUCAGCGCAAGCGAAGCUCCUGAUCGAAGCCCCGGUAAACGGCGGCCGUAACUAUAACGGUCCUAAGGUAGCGAAAUUCCUUGUCGGGUAAGUUCCGACCUGCACGAAUGGCGUAAUGAUGGCCAGGCUGUCUCCACCCGAGACUCAGUGAAAUUGAACUCGCUGUGAAGAUGCAGUGUACCCGCGGCAAGACGGAAAGACCCCGUGAACCUUUACUAUAGCUUGACACUGAACAUUGAGCCUUGAUGUGUAGGAUAGGUGGG
Molecule: ribosomal RNA, 1749 nt
Filed under: Salmonella enterica subsp. enterica serovar Stanley
Lineage: Bacteria; Pseudomonadati; Pseudomonadota; Gammaproteobacteria; Enterobacterales; Enterobacteriaceae
Description: partial 23S ribosomal RNA
Rfam family: Bacterial large subunit ribosomal RNA
Source: RNAcentral